CAGGCAACACCUCCCUGUAGGGGUGUGAGGCUCUCACUAUCUACAGGAGAAGCAGGAAACUGCCCACAUCAGCAGGAGACUCCAGAUGUCUAGGGAAGAAGGAAAAGAGAGAAUCAUUGAAAAGGAGAUAAAUGGAGAACAGAGGGCUGACUGGGAAAGAAUGAGGAUCCCCCAGGGAUGUCUCAGUGGGCUGGAGGAGUGCCCUCAGACUGGAUUAGACUUCUCUCUGGACCCCCUCCCUCCACAUGCUUUCUGAUUGUGUCUUUGGGUGGUUGCAGCCUCUACCAGAUGACUGCACAUUACACAAUAACAAGGGCGAGUUGUGGGAUCCUCCCUGUGCAAUUCCUGAUUUUACGUGUGUCCAACCAGCCUUACAAGGGUUGAGGAGGCGGAGUAUCUUUGCAUUUGGACUUUCUUGAGGCCAUCACAUACCCUUCUGAUGCUUCUACCGUGAUCCAGGCAGGGUAGAAAUAAAGGUGAUCUGAGAAGACCUAACCCAAAGGAAACAAAAAUCAGAGCCCAGAUCCCCCAGCUGAGCCAUUAAACCAAAGGGGCUGGGAAGAGACAGUAAAUCCAGACAUGAGGCCAUUGGAUAGAAAUGGGAAAUGACAUGAAAACGAAAACCACUUCAAAAUGAAAAAGAUGGAGCCAGGAAAAUUUCCCUGUACUGAGGAGGGUAGCACCAGAAUUUUUCCAAGGCAACUGCAGCCUCAUGACCUGUGAUGGAGGGAAAGAAGGCUGGUGAUGGUAGCCAGCCAGCCUGCUGAGUGGCCCGUGAUUGUACAUUUCAAUUCCUGCAGACAGAGAAACAAGGAUAGAGAAAAAAGAAGGGGAAAGGAGGUGAAAGAAGGUGAAAGGGAAGGGAGGAAGGCAAGACGGAAGCCGAAGCAGAAGCAGGAAUAGAAACCAGAAAUAGAGAGGCAGCAUGUCAUUCCGGAUUCUACCACAGCUCCAUCACAAACUGAGUUCGGGGAACUCUCUCUCCAAGAGUCCUAACUCCUGGUUUUUAUCUCUAAUUGGUUUUAGUAGGAACUGUUGUGGAAUGUUUUUUUUCCUUUUUAAAAAAUCCAAGGAGAUUUUAUGCUUUUAAUAAGCUUUCCUGUUCCUGAACUGCUGUGGAUAAACCAUGAUCCCAGAAGCCAGUUCCAGUUCUUAGUAGACAGGCAGGAAGCAUUCAGUGAGAGAUGCUCCCCAAGCACCUCCGAGUCCAGAGUUGUCUUGUAGAAAUCCCAGGCUGGACAGCCUUAGGGAUAUGUGGAACAGACAACCUGAAGGCCAGAACAAUCAUGAGAGGGUGUGGACCACACCCCAGCAGCCAUCCAGCUAUCUCUAGGAGCCAGAUCCCAAACCGCUGAAGGUAACAUUGGUCCUGGAUGUGAAAGGAUGUUUACUAAGACAUGUGUACCCCAACUUCUCAGGCCUUAAGCCAGCCCGAGCUGCUGUGUGUGUGCACAACCAAGUGGAAGAAGCCAAGUGAAGGGCUAUGGGGACCUAGAAGAUGGAGUCGUCACACAGUGGAAGAAUUGCAGAUCUCUGAGUCACCAUUUGGACAAGAACCUACUAGAACAGGUGCCUGAACAAGAACACUGGACUUUGUACAGGACCUGGACUAGCUUAGACGAAUGAGGCACUUGCCUCUGGCACAAAAGGGGGCACCAAACACCUCGGUAAUCAAGGGAUACUGCUGGAAGAUGGACAGUGAAUUGUCAGAAUUCAGAAGUUCCAGGUCAGAGGUUGACUCAGCCACCCCUGGGCUGAUGGAACCAUCAGAAGGAUCCUCUGAUUCAGUCCCCAAACUGGGCCCUGUGGAGCAGCAUCCCAGACAGCAGGAAUCGGACCUGCAAUUACUCCUUGGGACUCAGGGAGGAGUUUUAACAAGAAAACUGCACAUCUUCAGAGCAGGUGGUCUUUUCUGUCUCUAUAAUCAAACAAAAAUUUUUUUCGACUGUUCUAUAACAGACUGCUGCCUGGGAUCCUAGAACUGUUGCGUUUUUGAUCUUCCUCUUCGCAGCAUGGACAGUGGAUCCCCUUGAUCUGCAAGCCCUGCCCUGCCUCUCUCUGCACGCUGGGGGUUCAGGGAGGCUACACCCUUGGGGGGCACUGGGAGCUGCUGGAGAUGUGCACAGCGAGCAGUGGAGAGCAGUCGUCUCUUCUGAUCUACAUGCAGGGGAACUGGUGAGAGUUGCCGUAGGACCUCUGGUGAAAUUACCUUGGCUACUGACUAGUAAAGAGAUGAGAAAGGAGAGGUACUAUAGAUUUUCUUUAAGAAAUAAAUAUUGUCUCCUCUUUCUCUCUUUUCUCUGGUAAACAGUGCCCAAAUUUGGAAAUAUCACGUGUAAUUUAUUGUCCCACUUUAAAUGUUUCUUGUAACCAUGAAUUACUAUUCUUGGAUCAGAUUCCAUUAUAAUAAACUCCCACUUGGACUCCAAAUUCUUUUACAACAGUGGAAUUUUGCUUGAACUAACGCAUUGUUAUAAAUCACAUUUUCUGACCCCAGCCUGGAGUUCA
This 2508-nucleotide long non-coding RNA is filed under the name Homo sapiens (human). RNAcentral describes it as "HSALNT0181203". The record is from RNAcentral. Lineage: Eukaryota; Metazoa; Chordata; Mammalia; Primates; Hominidae.